UUAAAGUUUAAAUUUGGUUUUAAAAAAUAAUUUAUGAUUUUAUUAUAUGUAAAUAAUUUAUUUUAAAUAAGAGUUGGCAGUAAUUAAAAUUAAAUUUAUAAGAAAUUAUGAUUUAGAAAUUUAUAAUUUAAAUUAACAAAAUUUGUGCCAGCAGUUGCGGUUAUACAAAUAAUUUAAUUAUUUUAUUUUAGUUAGUAGUAAAUAAUAUUAUAUUUAUUAAUAAAGAAAAUUUAUAAGGUGAAAUUUAAAAUUUUUAUUUAAUAAAUUUAUUGUUAUAUGAAUUAUUAAAUUUAUGAAUAAACUAGGAUUAGAUACCCUAUUAUUAUAAAUGUAAAUAAAAUUACUUAAUUAGUAUUAGUUAUGUUCUUUAAAGUUAAAAAUUAUGGCGGUAUUUUAGUCUAUUUAGAGGAACCUGUUUAUUAAUUGAUAAUCCACAAUUUAUUAUACUUAUUUUAUUAAUUUGUAUAUCAUCGUGAAAGAAUAUUUUUUAAAAAUAUGUUUAAUAUUUAAAAUUAAAAUAUAAAUCAGAUCAAGGUGCAGUUUAUAAAUAAGUUUUAAUGGGUUACUAUAUAUUUAUAUUUGGAUAAUUAGUUGAAAAUUAAUUUGAAAUUGGAUUUAAAAGUAAUAUAAUUUAAUUUAAUUAUAUGAUUUUAGCUCUAAAAUAUGCACAUAUUGCCCGUCGCUUUCAUAUAAAUUGAAAUAAGUCGUAACAAAGUAGAUUUACUGGAAAGUGAAUCUAGAAUGAC
RNAcentral lists this non-coding RNA (746 nucleotides) under Staphylinoidea sp. 8 KM-2017. Lineage: Eukaryota; Metazoa; Arthropoda; Insecta; Coleoptera. The record is from RNAcentral.